UGUUUAUAUUUAGCGCCUGGACAAUUUUUAAAUUGUUGACGAGGAGGAGGUUUAUCGAAAGACUCGGCGGAUGCCUCCUGGCAUAAUUACUGUCAUCAGUUUUUAGCUAAAAACUAAUAGCAAUAUUAGAAAACAGAGGCUAAUUACACGUAAUUU
Clostridium sp. CAG:780 is the source of this 156-nucleotide non-coding RNA. The record is from Rfam. Lineage: Bacteria; Bacillati; Bacillota; Clostridia; Eubacteriales; Clostridiaceae.